This 259-nucleotide long non-coding RNA is filed under the name Olea europaea (common olive). RNAcentral describes it as "long non-coding RNA (OEUR_LNC006713)". Lineage: Eukaryota; Viridiplantae; Streptophyta; Magnoliopsida; Lamiales; Oleaceae. The record is from RNAcentral.
CUUAUUCCACUGUCGAUAGAAUAUAAUUUAUGCUUCUUUGAUGUGUACAAUGAGGUUAGGAGUGUUUUUUAUUUUUUAUGUAUUUUCUUGUCAAUGGCGAUUUUUGGAGCAAAAUAAGGUUUAAUCCAAUCAGGUUGAAAGUAAGCUUUAGAUGGUGUUGAUGAUGGAUUUUGGUAUGGGGAUAGCUAUUAAUUUUGAAUUCUGGAAUGGAUAAUAUAAAAAUUUCAGUUUACAUAAAUCUGUAUUUCGAAAAUGUUGG